GAUGAAGAACGCAGCGAAAUGCGAUAAGUAAUGUGAAUUGCAGAAUUCAGUGAAUCAUCGAAUCUUUGAACGCACAUUGCGCCCCCUGGUAUUCCGGGGGGCAUGCCUGUCCGAGCGUCAUUACAACCCUCAAGCUCAGCUUGGUGUUGGGCCCCGCCGCCCCGGCGGGCCCUAAAGUCAGUGGCGGUGCCGUCCGGCUCCGAGCGUAGUAAUUCUUCUCGCUCUGGAGGUCCGGUCGUGUGCUCGCCAGCAACCCCCAAUUUUUUUCAGGUUGACCUCGGAUCAGGUAGGGAUACCCGCUGAACUUAAGCAUAUCAAUAAGCGGAGGA
Molecule: unclassified non-coding RNA, 329 nt
Filed under: soil metagenome
Description: partial contains 5.8S ribosomal RNA, internal transcribed spacer 2, and large subunit ribosomal RNA
Rfam family: 5.8S ribosomal RNA (bases 1-120)
Source: RNAcentral